GGAGUUAGCCGGUGCUUCUUCUGUGAGUGAUGUCCUUCCUGCCGGUUAUUGACCCGCAGGCCUUCUUCCUCACUGAAAGUGCUUUACAACCCGAAGGCCUUCUUCACACACGCGGCAUGGCUGGAUCAGGGUUGCCCCCAUUGUCCAAUAUUCCCCACUGCUGCCUCCCGUAGGAGUCUGGGCCGUGUCUCAGUCCCAGUGUGGCUGAUCAUCCUCUCAGACCAGCUACGGAUCGUCGCCUUGGUGACGCCGUUACCUCACCAACCAGCUAAUCCGACAUAGGCUCAUCCGAUAGCGCGAGGCCCGAAGGUCCCCCGCUUUCCCCCGUAGGGCGUAUGCGGUAUUAGCCUGGGUUUCCCCAGGUUAUCCCCCACUACCGGGCAGAUUCCUAUGCAUUACUCACCCGUCCGCCGCUCGCCACCAGGGAGCAAGCUCCCCGUGCUGCCGCUCGACUUGCAUGUGUUAGGCCUGCCGCCAGCGUUCAAUCUGAGCCAGGAUCAAACUCUGA
Molecule: ribosomal RNA, 508 nt
Filed under: uncultured bacterium
Lineage: Bacteria
Description: partial 16S ribosomal RNA
Source: RNAcentral